GUGGGGAAUCUUGGGCAAUGGGGGAAACCCUGACCCAGCGACGCCGCGUGAGGGAAGAAGGUCUUCGGAUUGUAAACCUUUGUGACAGGGGACGAAGGAAGUGACGGUACCCUGUGAGGAAGCCCCGGCUAACUACGUGCCAGCAGCCGCGGUAAUACGUAGGGGGCGAGCGUUGUCCGGAAUUACUGGGCGUAAAGGGCGCGUAGGCGGUUGAAUAAGUCUGUUGUGAAAUUCCAAGGCUUAACUUUGGCAGUGCAAUGGAAACUGUUCGACUUGAGUACGGCAGAGGCAAGUGGAAUUCCCAGUGUAGCGGUGAAAUGCACAGAGAUUGGGAGGAACACCAGUGGCGAAGGCGACUUGCUGGGCCGAAACUGACGCUGAGGCGCGAAAGCGUGGGGAGCAAACAGGAUUAGAUACCCUAGUAGUCC
RNAcentral lists this ribosomal RNA (428 nucleotides) under uncultured bacterium. RNAcentral describes it as "bacterial SSU rRNA". It matches the Rfam family "Bacterial small subunit ribosomal RNA", at positions 354 to 796 of the family's 1533-position model. The record is from RNAcentral.